GGGUUGUGAGGUUAAGCGACUAAGCGUACACGGUGGAUGCCCUGGCAGUCAGAGGCGAUGAAGGACGUGCUAAUCUGCGAUAAGCGUCGGUAAGGUGAUAUGAACCGUUAUAACCGGCGAUUUCCGAAUGGGGAAACCCAGUGUGUUUCGACACACUAUCAUUAACUGAAUCCAUAGGUUAAUGAGGCGAACCGGGGGAACUGAAACAUCUAAGUACCCCGAGGAAAAGAAAUCAACCGAGAUUCCCCCAGUAGCGGCGAGCGAACGGGGAGCAGCCCAGAGCCUGAAUCAGUGUGUGUGUUAGUGGAAGCGUCUGGAAAGGCGCGCGAUACAGGGUGACAGCCCCGUACACAAAAAUGCACAUGCUGUGAGCUCGAUGAGUAGGGCGGGACACGUGGUAUCCUGUCUGAAUAUGGGGGGACCAUCCUCCAAGGCUAAAUACUCCUGACUGACCGAUAGUGAACCAGUACCGUGAGGGAAAGGCGAAAAGAACCCCGGCGAGGGGAGUGAAAAAGAACCUGAAACCGUGUACGUACAAGCAGUGGGAGCACAGAGCAAUCUGUGUGACUGCGUACCUUUUGUAUAAUGGGUCAGCGACUUAUAUUCUGUAGCAAGGUUAACCGAAUAGGGGAGCCGAAGGGAAACCGAGUCUUAACUGGGCGUUAAGUUGCAGGGUAUAGACCCGAAACCCGGUGAUCUAGCCAUGGGCAGGUUGAAGGUUGGGUAACACUAACUGGAGGACCGAACCGACUAAUGUUGAAAAAUUAGCGGAUGACUUGUGGCUGGGGGUGAAAGGCCAAUCAAACCGGGAGAUAGCUGGUUCUCCCCGAAAGCUAUUUAGGUAGCGCCUCGUGAAUUCAUCUCCGGGGGUAGAGCACUGUUUCGGCAAGGGGGUCAUCCCGACUUACCAACCCGAUGCAAACUGCGAAUACCGGAGAAUGUUAUCACGGGAGACACACGGCGGGUGCUAACGUCCGUCGUGAAGAGGGAAACAACCCAGACCGCCAGCUAAGGUCCCAAAGUCAUGGUUAAGUGGGAAACGAUGUGGGAAGGCCCAGACAGCCAGGAUGUUGGCUUAGAAGCAGCCAUCAUUUAAAGAAAGCGUAAUAGCUCACUGGUCGAGUCGGCCUGCGCGGAAGAUGUAACGGGGCUAAACCAUGCACCGAAGCUGCGGCAGCGACGCUUAUGCGUUGUUGGGUAGGGGAGCGUUCUGUAAGCCUGUGAAGGUGUGCUGUGAGGCAUGCUGGAGGUAUCAGAAGUGCGAAUGCUGACAUAAGUAACGAUAAAGCGGGUGAAAAGCCCGCUCGCCGGAAGACCAAGGGUUCCUGUCCAACGUUAAUCGGGGCAGGGUGAGUCGACCCCUAAGGCGAGGCCGAAAGGCGUAGUCGAUGGGAAACAGGUUAAUAUUCCUGUACUUGGUGUUACUGCGAAGGGGGGACGGAGAAGGCUAUGUUGGCCGGGCGACGGUUGUCCCGGUUUAAGCGUGUAGGCUGGUUUUCCAGGCAAAUCCGGAAAAUCAAGGCUGAGGCGUGAUGACGAGGCACUACGGUGCUGAAGCAACAAAUGCCCUGCUUCCAGGAAAAGCCUCUAAGCAUCAGGUAACAUCAAAUCGUACCCCAAACCGACACAGGUGGUCAGGUAGAGAAUACCAAGGCGCUUGAGAGAACUCGGGUGAAGGAACUAGGCAAAAUGGUGCCGUAACUUCGGGAGAAGGCACGCUGAUAUGUAGGUGAAGUCCCUCGCGGAUGGAGCUGAAAUCAGUCGAAGAUACCAGCUGGCUGCAACUGUUUAUUAAAAACACAGCACUGUGCAAACACGAAAGUGGACGUAUACGGUGUGACGCCUGCCCGGUGCCGGAAGGUUAAUUGAUGGGGUUAGCGGUAACGCGAAGCUCUUGAUCGAAGCCCCGGUAAACGGCGGCCGUAACUAUAACGGUCCUAAGGUAGCGAAAUUCCUUGUCGGGUAAGUUCCGACCUGCACGAAUGGCGUAAUGAUGGCCAGGCUGUCUCCACCCGAGACUCAGUGAAAUUGAACUCGCUGUGAAGAUGCAGUGUACCCGCGGCAAGACGGAAAGACCCCGUGAACCUUUACUAUAGCUUGACACUGAACAUUGAGCCUUGAUGUGUAGGAUAGGUGGGAGGCUUUGAAGUGUGGACGCCAGUCUGCAUGGAGCCGGCCUUGAAAUACCACCCUUUAAUGUUUGAUGUUCUAACGUUGGCCCCUGAUCGGGGUUGCGGACAGUGUCUGGUGGGUAGUUUGACUGGGGCGGUCUCCUCCUAAAGAGUAACGGAGGAGCACGAAGGUUGGCUAAUCCUGGUCGGACAUCAGGAGGUUAGUGCAAUGGCAUAAGCCAGCUUGACUGCGAGCGUGACGGCGCGAGCAGGUGCGAAAGCAGGUCAUAGUGAUCCGGUGGUUCUGAAUGGAAGGGCCAUCGCUCAACGGAUAAAAGGUACUCCGGGGAUAACAGGCUGAUACCGCCCAAGAGUUCAUAUCGACGGCGGUGUUUGGCACCUCGAUGUCGGCUCAUCACAUCCUGGGGCUGAAGUAGGUCCCAAGGGUAUGGCUGUUCGCCAUUUAAAGUGGUACGCGAGCUGGGUUUAGAACGUCGUGAGACAGUUCGGUCCCUAUCUGCCGUGGGCGCUGGAGAACUGAGGGGGGCUGCUCCUAGUACGAGAGGACCGGAGUGGACGCAUCACUGGUGUUCGGGUUGUCAUGCCAAUGGCACUGCCCGGUAGCUAAAUGCGGAAGAGAUAAGUGCUGAAAGCAUCUAAGCACGAAACUUGCCCCGAGAUGAGUUCUCCCUGACUCCUUGAGAGUCCUGAAGGAACGUUGAAGACGACGACGUUGAUAGGCCGGGUGUGUAAGCGCAGCGAUGCGUUGAGCUAACCGGUACUAAUGAACCGUGAGGCUUAACCUUACAACGCCGAAG
Molecule: ribosomal RNA, 2929 nt
Filed under: Escherichia coli
Lineage: Bacteria; Pseudomonadati; Pseudomonadota; Gammaproteobacteria; Enterobacterales; Enterobacteriaceae
Also listed under: 1 other name
Description: partial 23S ribosomal RNA
Rfam family: Bacterial large subunit ribosomal RNA
Source: RNAcentral